Molecule: long non-coding RNA, 3660 nt
Filed under: Salvia miltiorrhiza (redroot sage)
Lineage: Eukaryota; Viridiplantae; Streptophyta; Magnoliopsida; Lamiales; Lamiaceae
Description: long non-coding RNA (SMIL_LNC002694)
Source: RNAcentral
UUUGAAACUUUGAGAGGAGAAAUUGACAAAGCACGACAAGUACUUGAUUCCAUGGUUGACAAGGGACUUAAGCCUAAUAUUGUUACCUACAAUUGCUUAUUAAAUGGAUAUUGCAGAAAGGGGAGAAUAGACGAAGCUUGGCUUCAUUUUCUUGAAGUUCCUUGUCAAGGUCUGGAGCAUGAUACAUGUACUUAUAAUACCAUGAUUCAUGGACUGUUUAGUAAGCGUAGAUUUUCCGAGGGCUGGAAGCUUUUCAAGGAUAUGGAAGCUCGACGAGUAACUCCUAACAUAUAUACUUAUAGUACAUUGUUGGAUGGGCUGUGCAGGAAUGGAGAGACUGGUGAAGCUCUUUCUUUUCUGCAUACGAUUGAAGGGAAAGGAGUUGAUCUCGAUAGAGUUACAUAUGGGGCUAUCAUUAAUGGAUUAUGCAAAAAUGGGAAACUUGAUGUUGCCAGAGAUCUUUUCAACCAACUGCCUUCUAGAGGUGUGCUACCUAAUGCUCGAAUGUAUACAAUGAUCAUUGGUGCACUCUGUCAUGAAGAUUCUACGGAGGAGGCACAAUGUUUGCUUACAGAGAUGCAGAGCGGUGGUUGUGCACCUACCAGCGUGACAUACAACAUCAUGACGCGAAGUUUCCUAAAGAAGAAAGAGCUUAGCAAGGCAAUACCAUACUUGGAAGUAAUGCGCGAAAAGGAACUCUCAGCAGAUGUUUCUUCUCUUUCCAUGCUCAUUGAUCAAAUGCAAGGAAAAACUAAAGAUGAUGUUCUUCUCAAAUUGAUGAAGGAUGUUUUGCCAAAGGAUUUUGUAUUAUAGUCAUCUCGUCUUCUGAGAUGCAACCAACUCUGGCUUUGGAGCUGUAACUUUGUGUUCUUUUCAACUCAGGCUUUGUCUGAUCUCGUGUCUUUUUAUUUCUUCUCUUUUAUUUUUUCAUCUAAAGAUUUUUCUUGUGAUUUUUGGAAGGGUACUUGCUUGCGUUUAUUUAUGGAUGGUUUUUCAAUUCUCAUAUAUCUCAUGUUGUGUGCAAAUAUAUUCUCAUACAUUCUAAUAAUUCAAUUCAUAUGCGUAUGUUGCAGAAAUGGAUAUUUAUUUAUUUUCUUCUACUUUUGAUUUUCACCUAGAAAUAAAAGGUGGUUCUCUUAAUUAUCUGUCCUCUUUUAGCAAGAAGCACACAACCUUCUAGCUGAAGUGUCUCUUUCCUAGAUUAGCAACACAACUAAUAUAUACUUCCAUAUUUAAUGAAAAAAAAUGGCAAAGAAGAAGAUGAAAAGAAAAUUUACCAAACAUAUUACUCAUCUAAACCACAAUUUGAGCAGAAAACUUCUUAUUUUGCAAAAUCAAAAUUGCCUCACAAAACAUCCUGCAGUUUACAGUCUUGAAAAAGCUACACCAAAAACAUACUCAAAAAGAGAAUAACAAAGGCAAAGUUAUAAGUAGAGCUACUCGCUGUGAAGAUUUAGCAACACAACUAAUAGCAACAAACUGGUAUCUACACCCUCCUUUAUCUCCUAAACACAAUUCUCUCAACAAUACAAAAUAUAUUUUAAUAAAUAUAAUAAUUCACAUCAAUUACUCAAUAAAAUCUUGAAUUUAAAAAUAUAAAUAUUCAAUUUAUACAAAGUGUAAAUAUAAUUAAAGUUAUUAAAUAAAUUUAAAAAUUAUUCGAUAAUAAAAAUUUUCACUAUGCAUAUACUAUUCAUCAUAAUAAUAGUAUUUUUAUACAAACGUAAAUAAAAAGUUAUAAAUUUUUUUAAUGAAAAGAAAGAAAAUAAAAUAUUCUAAUAUUUUCAUAACUUAUUCAUUUUUUAUUAUUUUUAUACUAUAUUGAAUUUGAGAUACAUAUUGAUUAUUUUUUUCGUGAUCAAAUUUGACGACGUUUAAAUAAUAAUUACAAAUUUGUACCAAGUUAUUGUUAAAUUUGUUUGGAUUGGUCUAGAGAUGACACUUGUUCUACUUUAUUUAUAUAAAGCACUUACUUGAAGUUAUAAAAAUAUACAUACAUAUAUAUAAAAGUUCAUUAUGAUAUCACAAUUUUUUUUAUCAUAAAAAUCACAUGCAAUUAUAAAAUUAACAAAUAAUAAUAUGCCUUAUAACUACAAUAUAAAAUAUUACAAACUGAUCUACAACAAAAUUAUAAUACAAAUUUGAAUAAGAGCGAUGAAAAGAAUUGUUUAACUUAAUAUUACCAACAAAUUUCACUCAUACACGCCAUUGCAUAAUUUAAACUAUUAAAUUUAACUUAAAAAUGUAAGAAAACGUUUAUUUUGUUUACUAUCUUAAUAGUAUUUUUUUUUCUAGUAGCCCAAAUAAUAUGAGCCCAAACAUUAAUAUUCAAGCCCAAAAUUCUGAGCCUACCAAAGAACUUCAUCCGUUGCAAUUUCAACCCUUUUUUCAGAUUCAAUCACAACUCCUAAACUCGCAAGCGUCGCCCAACACUCACCCUUUCCUCACAUUAAAUCUCACCGCCGAUUAAGGAUGACGAGCAGAAGAGCUGCUGUUUCUGCAAUCGAUCUCAUUCAUAAUGGAAGAGGAUUUCUCAAUCAAUGGUCGCAUAAAUCGGGUAUUAUCUCUCCUCCAUUUUCUCUCUUCUCUUCCAAGGCUUUUCAACCUAAGCAGCCCAGAAUCGAUUUCAGCUGUGUUAAAGAAUUAAAUGAUGCUAUUGGAGUGUUUCAAAAAAUGAAGAGUAUGCAGCCGGAGCCUUCUGUUCUAAUGUACAACAAUCUUUUGAGUGUCACUGUAAAGAUUGAGCAGUAUUCUUUUGCCCUUUAUAUGUUUGAUGAAAUGCUUAGGAUGGGUGUCCCUGUUAAUGUUUACACGAUGACUAUUGCUGUGAAUUGUUGUUGUCUCUUGAAAGAUAUAAAAUCUGGCUUUGCUGUAAUGGGUAUAUUUUUCAAGAGAGGCUACGAACCAAAUAUCGCGACAUUCACCACUUUGAUUAAAGGGCUGUUUUUAGAUCAUAAGGUGGUCGAGGCUGGAAAAUUGUUCAAUAAGAUUUUGCGUUUCGGAAUAUGUGAGCCUAAUGAUGUUAUGAUUCUGACGAUGGUAGAUGGGCUUUGUAAAUCAGGAAAUGUCCUUCCAGCGAGAGAUUUAGUUCGUAGAUUAGAAAGAAGUAGGUUGAGACCUAAUGUCAAGGCUUAUAGUGCAUUACUCGACGGGCUACGCAAAUCUGGAAUGGUAGAUGAUGCUCUCCAGCUCCUAUCCGCGAUGAUCGAAAAGGGUAUUACACCCGAUGUUGUCACGUACAACUCGAUGAUUCAGGGGUUGUGCGACCUAGGGAGACUGGAGGAUGUUAAGGUUCUGGUGAAUGAAAUGUCUAAUUCUAAUAUUUCUGUCGAUGUUGUAACUUUUAGUAUAUUGAUUGAUGCAUACUGCAAGGAGAGAAAGAUGAAAGAGGUUGAAGAUUUGUUGGAAAUUAUGAGGCAACGUAACGUAUGCCCUACUGUUGUCACUUAUACUGCGCUAAUGGAGGGGUAUUGUUUGAGAGGAGAAAUUGACAAAGCAUGACAAGUACUUUUGACAAGGGACUUAAGCCUAAUAUUGUUACCUACAAUUGCUUAUUAAAUGGAUAUUGCCGAAAGGGGAGAAUAGACGAAGCUUGGCUUCAUUUUCUCGAAGUUCCUUUGAAAGGUCUGGAGCAUGAUACAUGUACUUAUAAUACCAUGA